AGCAGUAGCCGCGGUAAUACAGAGGGUGCGAGCGUUAAUCGGAUUUACUGGGCGUAAAGCGUGCGUAGGCGGCUUCUUAAGUCGGAUGUGAAAUCCCUAAGCUUAACUUAGGAAUUGCAUUCGAUACUGGGAAGCUAGAGUAUGGGAGAGGAUGGUAGAAUUCCAGGUGUAGCGGUGAAAUGCGUAGAGAUCUGGAGGAAUACCGAUGGCGAAGGCAGCCAUCUGGCCUAAUACUGACGCUGAGGUACGAAAGCAUGGGGAGCAAACAGGAUUAGAUACCCCUGUAGUCCCUGUCUCUUAUAU
This 303-nucleotide ribosomal RNA is filed under the name uncultured bacterium. RNAcentral describes it as "partial 16S ribosomal RNA". It matches the Rfam family "Bacterial small subunit ribosomal RNA", at positions 507 to 809 of the family's 1533-position model. The record is from RNAcentral.